GGCCCUCCUAGGCCAGUGGUUUUGCGGUCACCUCUGUCCAUCUGCUCAGGACUCCCUGUCCUAAACCUGGUGGUGUCACAGGGUCCCUGCUCCAUAGUGACUCUGUGGGGACUGUGACUUGCUUUCUGAUUUUCCAAGAUCAACUGAUUUUCCACCUUGUUUUCUCCUUUCUGGGCUUUAUAGCUUCUUAAAAGUCCUAGCUCCAGGGGUUGGUUAGCCACAUUCCUUUACAGGCUGGCCAGUGUUGGGAGUGGGGGAACGGAACUGAUGUAUAAAGUCAGCCCCAGUUGCAACUUUGGAGUGGGAUCAUUUUCUCUUAUUUACCUUGCAGAACCAAACUGUAAUCCGCAGCAGGCCUCCAGAAGGGCAUCCCUCAGGCCUCGGGCUCCUGCAGGCUUUUCUCCUGAUUCCGGUUCAUGAAGAGAAUGACACAGGUCAGCCUGAGGUUGGCCUCCUGCAAGAAAGAACCUGGAGGCUUCCCUCUCAUGAAAUGCUUCAUGAUAUCUGCAUGAAGAUGCUUUGACAUCCAGAGCAUGUGUCUCAGCAGAGAAAGAGUGUAUACAUGUAGAGACUCACGCAUGCAUGGAACUUCUAAAAAGUUUUUGAGACUUGAUUAUAUAAUACAGGAUGAAAUGAACAGCUACAUUGAAGAAAAAGAGACACUAAGGAGCCGUGCCGAAAGCAACUUUCCUCUGCUUGUCCUUCCAGAAUGCCAUUUGUGCCUUGGAGCUGGUUGACUGUGGACCGAACUAUAAGAAGUCUCCUUCCAUCAGUAUUUUCUGGAAGAAAUGUCAAAGGAUCCUAGUCGAAGAGGAAUGUGAAGACAGGCCCUCGGUAACAGGCGAAGCUCCACAGCCUCCUGGUCCGCUGGAUGUGGCAGCCCAUGCUGGGAGGAGACCUUGAUGUUGCUAUCA
Long non-coding RNA from Cavia porcellus (domestic guinea pig), 914 nucleotides. RefSeq lists it as uncharacterized. The transcript has 5 exons. NCBI's taxonomy places the organism in Eukaryota, Metazoa, Chordata, Mammalia, Rodentia, Caviidae. The record is from RefSeq and is a predicted model, not a curated record.